Cyanistes caeruleus (blue tit) is the source of this 1844-nucleotide long non-coding RNA. Lineage: Eukaryota; Metazoa; Chordata; Aves; Passeriformes; Paridae. The record is from Ensembl.
CACUAAGUUUUUCCCCUGUCCCCCUCCCCACCCUACGUAAGGGGAGGAGGACAGAUCUGACUUUCCUUUCUUAUGUACGUAGUAUAGUAUAGAAAUAUAGAUGGAAGUUAUCCUCGCUGCAAGCAGCAGCAAAGAGGUGACCUCCUCUCUAACCACUGUAAGGGGAGGAGGACACACCUGACUUUUUUUUUCUCCAUAGUAAAUGAGGAUAGAAGUUAUCCUCGCUGCGAGCAGCAGCAAAGAGGUGACCUCCUCUCCAGCCACCAUAUGGGGAGGAGGACACACCUGACUUUUAUUUUUUCCAUAUUAAAUGAGGAUAGAAGUUAUCCUCGCUGCAAGCAGCAGCAAAGAGGUGUCCUCCUCCCCGACCACCAUAAGGGGAGCAGGACAGAUCUCGCUUUUCUUUUUUUUUUUCUCCACAGAAAAUGAGGAUAGAAAUUAUCCUCACUGCAAAGCAGCAACAACAAAGGGUGCGGAGGCCCCAACAGAGAUUACUCCGCUCCAUGGAGCCCUCCCUCAACCUUCACCAAGGUUGAGGCUGGAGACAAUCCAACCCCUCCAUCACAGAGGAGUUGGAACGGUGGAUGCAGAGGCCUCAACUCCUCCGCUCCACCUACCUUACUAUACCUUAACAUACUAUACCUUAACCUACUCUACCUUAACCUACUGUACCUUAUCCUACACUACCUUACCCUACUCUACCCCAGAACUACACCAAAUUUAUCUCCUGUCCCCCUUCCCACACCACAUAAGGGGAAGAGGACAGAUAUGACUUUCCUCUCUUAUAUUAAUUAAUUAUAUAUAUAUAUAUAAUAAUAUAUAUCAUUAAUAAUUAUUAUAUAUCAUUAAGAUAAUAAUUAUAUAUCAUUAAGUUAAUGAGGAUAUCCUCAAAAUUUGGAAAUUAUCCACAUAGACAUCAGUUCCUCCAGGCCUCAACAAGGUUGAGGCUGGAGACAAUCCAACCCCUCCAUCACGGAGGAGUUGGAACGGUGGAUGCGGAGACCUCAACUCCUCCGCUCCACCAAUCCUACUCUACCUUACCCUACUCUAACUUAACCUACUCUACAUUAUCCUACUCUACGUUAUCCUACUCUACGUUGUCCUACUCUACUCCAGAACCCCGCCAAAUUUAUGUCAGACUUAUCCUGUCCCCCUCCCCACCCCACAUAAGGGGAGGAGGACAGAUGGGAUUUUCCUCUCGUAUAUACACAGUAAAUGAGGAUAUUCUCCUCAAAUCUCUAAACCGUCCACAUAGACCUCAAACUUCCUCCAGCCAUCUCCAACAACACAAACCUGAUCCUAGCCGAAGACCUGCAGCAACGAUGGGUGCGGAGGCCCCGCCACAAACUCCGCUCCAGGCAAACCUCCAGGCCUCAACAAGGUGAGCACAAACAGAGAUGAUCCUCUCCCCCCACCCUCCCCGGUAAUGGGAAGUGCACAGAGUUAAUCUGAGCCUUCAUCUCCACACAGGUUGAGGCUGGAGACAAUCCAACCCCUCCAUCACGGAGGAGUUGGAACAACGGCGGCGGCCUCAACUACUCUGCUCCACCUACCCUUACCCUACCUUACCUUACCCCAGACCCCACUAAGUUUUUCCCCUGUCCCCCUCCCCACCCUACGUAAGGGGAGGAGGACAGAUCUGACUUUCCUUUCUUAUGUACGUAGUAUAGUAUAGAAAUAUAGAUGGAAGUUAUCCUCGCUGCAAGCAGCAGCAAAGAGGUGACCUCCUCUCUAACCACUGUAAGGGGAGGAGGACACACCUGACUUUUUUUUUUUAUUUCCUCCAUAAAUGAGGAUAGAAGUUAUCCUCGCUGCGAGCAGCAGCAAAGAGGUGACCUCCUCUC